GACGAACGCUGGCGGCGUGCUUAACACAUGCAAGUCGAACGAAGAGCGAUGGAAGCUUGCUUCUAUCAAUCUUAGUGGCGAACGGGUGAGUAACGCGUAAUCAACCUGCCCUUCAGAGGGGGACAACAGUUGGAAACGACUGCUAAUACCGCAUACGAUCUAACCUCGGCAUCGAGGAUGGAUGAAAGGUGGCCUCUAUUUAUAAGCUAUCACUGAAGGAGGGGAUUGCGUCUGAUUAGCUAGUUGGAGGGGUAACGCCCACCAAGGCGAUGAUCAGUAGCCGGUCUGAGAGGAUGAACGGCCACAUUGGGACUGAGACACGGCCCAGACUCCUACGGGAGGCAGCAGUGGGGAAUCUUCCGCAAUGGACGAAAGUCUGACGGAGCAACGCCGCGUGAGUGAUGACGGCCUUCGGGUUGUAAAGCUCUGUUAAUCGGGACGAAAGGCCUUC
Molecule: ribosomal RNA, 451 nt
Filed under: Veillonella dispar
Lineage: Bacteria; Bacillati; Bacillota; Negativicutes; Veillonellales; Veillonellaceae
Description: bacterial SSU rRNA
Rfam family: Bacterial small subunit ribosomal RNA
Source: RNAcentral